CCAGCAGCUGCGGUAAUUCCAGCUCCAAUAGCGUAUAUUAAAGUUGUUGCAGUUAAAAAGCUCGUAGUUGGAUUUCUGGGUUCAGCUUUCAGCCCGUGGACUUGUUUCAUGUGUGCUGUAUAACGUCUGAAUUCAUCCUUGUAGUGAUUGUAUCUGGCAUUCAGUUGUCGGGUAUAGGAGCUGCAUCGUUUACUGUGAAAAAAUUAGAGUGUUUAAAGCAGGCUUAUGCCGUGAAUACAUUAGCAUGGAAUGAUACUUUAGGACUUUGUCUUUAUUUAUUGGUUUCUAAGAGAAAGUAAUGAUUAAUAGGGAUAGUUGGGGGUAUUCAUAUUUAGUUGUCAGAGGUGAAAUUCUUGGAUUUACGAAAGAUGAACAUAUGCGAAAGCAUUUACCAAGGAUGUUUUCA
Molecule: ribosomal RNA, 406 nt
Filed under: uncultured eukaryote
Lineage: Eukaryota
Description: SSU rRNA
Rfam family: Eukaryotic small subunit ribosomal RNA
Source: RNAcentral